GAUGAACGCUGGCGGCGUGCCUAAUACAUGCAAGUCGAGCGAACGGACGAGAAGCUUGCUUCUCUGAUGUUAGCGGCGGACGGGUGAGUAACACGUGGAUAACCUACUUAUAAGACUGGGAUAACUUCGGGAAACCGUAGCUAAUACCGGAUAAUAUUUUGAACCGCAUGGUUCAAAAGUGAAAGACGGUCUUGCUGUCACUUAUAGAUGGAUCCGCGCUGCAUUAGCUAGUUGGUAAGGUAACGGCUUACCAAGGCAACGAUGCAUAGCCGACCUGAGAGGGUGAUCGGCCACACUGGAACUGAGACACGGUCCAGACUCCUACGGGAGGCAGCAGUAGGGAAUCUUCCGCAAUGGGCGAAAGCCUGACGGAGCAACGCCGCGUGAGUGAUGAAGGUCUUCGGAUCGUAAAACUCUGUUAUUAGGGAAGAACAUAUGUGUAAGUAACUGUGCACAUCUUGACGGUACCUAAUCAGAAAGCCACGGCUAACUACGUGCCAGCAGCCGCGGUAAUACGUAGGUGGCAAGCGUUAUCCGGAAUUAUUGGGCGUAAAGCGCGCGUAGGCGGUUUUUUAAGUCUGAUGUGAAAGCCCACGGCUCAACCGUGGAGGGUCAUUGGAAACUGGAAAACUUGAGUGCAGAAGAGGAAAGUGGAAUUCCAUGUGUAGCGGUGAAAUGCGCAGAGAUAUGGAGGAACACCAGUGGCGAAGGCGACUUUCUGGUCUGUAACUGACGCUGAUGUGCGAAAGCGUGGGGAUCAAACAGGAUUAGAUACCCUGGUAGUCCACGCCGUAAACGAUGAGUGCUAAGUGUUAGGGGGUUUCCGCCCCUUAGUGCUGCAGCUAACGCAUUAAGCACUCCGCCUGGGGAGUACGACCGCAAGGUUGAAACUCAAAGGAAUUGACGGGGACCCGCGCAAGCGGUGGAGCAUGUGGUUUAAUUCGAAGCAACGCGAAGAACCUUACCAAAUCUUGACAUCCUUUGACAACUCUAGAGAUAGAGCCUUCCCCUUCGGGGGACAAAGUGACAGGUGGUGCAUGGUUGUCGUCAGCUCGUGUCGUGAGAUGUUGGGUUAAGUCCCGCAACGAGCGCAACCCUUAAGCUUAGUUGCCAUCAUUAAGUUGGGCACUCUAAGUUGACUGCCGGUGACAAACCGGAGGAAGGUGGGGAUGACGUCAAAUCAUCAUGCCCCUUAUGAUUUGGGCUACACACGUGCUACAAUGGACAAUACAAAGGGCAGCGAAACCGCGAGGUCAAGCAAAUCCCAUAAAGUUGUUCUCAGUUCGGAUUGUAGUCUGCAACUCGACUACAUGAAGCUGGAAUCGCUAGUAAUCGUAGAUCAGCAUGCUACGGUGAAUACGUUCCCGGGUCU
Molecule: ribosomal RNA, 1372 nt
Filed under: uncultured bacterium
Lineage: Bacteria
Description: bacterial SSU rRNA
Rfam family: Bacterial small subunit ribosomal RNA
Source: RNAcentral